GAUGAACGCUGGCGGCGUGCUUAACACAUGCAAGUCGAACGGGAUCCAAGGGGUGCUUGCACUUUUUGGUGAGAGAGGCGAACGGGUGAGUAACACGUGAGUAACCUGUCCUUUUCUUUGGGAUAAGCAUUCGAAAGGGUGUUUAAUACCUUAUGUUCUGUCUGCCUCGCAUGGGGUGGGUGGGAAAGGCUUUGGCCGGAUUUGGGUGGGCUCGCGGUCUAUCAGCUUGUUGGUGGGGUGAUGGCUUACCAAGGCUUUGACGGGUAGCCGGCCUGAGAGGGUGGUCGGUCACAUUGGGACUGAGAUACGGCCCAGACUCCUGCGGGAGGCAGCAGUGGGGGAUAUUGCACAAUGGGCGAAAGCCUGAUGCAGCGACGCCGCGUGGGGGAUGAAGGCCUUCGGGUUGUAAACUUCUUUUGCUCUGAACAAGGCAUGCCAGUGGGUGUGUUGAGUGUAGGGGUUGAUUAGCGCCGGCUAACUACGUG
Molecule: ribosomal RNA, 485 nt
Filed under: uncultured bacterium
Lineage: Bacteria
Description: partial 16S ribosomal RNA
Rfam family: Bacterial small subunit ribosomal RNA
Source: RNAcentral